GUGGGUCUUUGUGUGUUUGUUGGUGGUUAUGUGUGUGCGUGUGUUAAAGGGAAAGGGAGGAGCUUCUGCCUUGGACCGGGUAAGUGAGAGGAAAAGGAAGUCCUGAACACAGUGGUGAGACAAACUGCUGGUCGUCUUCAGCAUGAUGAAAAUACAUGUGUACACUUGUCUUCUCUCUGUCUUAACUUUGGUGGAGAUGAAGACUAUCAACACAAAUGGACGUGUUGGGUCAAAUCUGACCGUCCUAUGCUCAGACUGGAACCUUUGGGGUUCUGUGAAAGACAAUAUGAAAUACAUCUGUCGAAGUUCCUGCUCAUACCGAGACAUCAUGUAAAAGCAGAAUAUGGAAAAACCAAACGUAAAAAUCGGAUUGAGAUAACCAACAGUGAACAAGGUUUAUUUGUGACCUUCUUUAAUCUCCAAAAGUCAGACUCUGGGAAAUAUUACUGUGGAGUGGGGAGAUAUGGCCCUGAUGGAUUCAUAGAGGUGAAUGUUGAAGUCAAGGAUGCUGAACCUUCUAGUCCUCUGAAGACUCCAAACCCAGUCUUUGUUACUGAUACAACCAGUCCGUCUACAUCUUCAAAUGUCCCUACUGUUUUUACUGACAUGUCU
This is a long non-coding RNA of Notolabrus celidotus (New Zealand spotty), 612 nucleotides long. RefSeq lists it as uncharacterized. NCBI's taxonomy places the organism in Eukaryota, Metazoa, Chordata, Actinopteri, Labriformes, Labridae. The transcript has 3 exons. The record is from RefSeq and is a predicted model, not a curated record.